RNAcentral lists this ribosomal RNA (481 nucleotides) under uncultured bacterium. Its description in RNAcentral is "partial 16S ribosomal RNA". It matches the Rfam family "Bacterial small subunit ribosomal RNA", at positions 30 to 506 of the family's 1533-position model. The record is from RNAcentral.
AUUGAACGCUGGCGGCAUGCUCUACACAUGCAAGUCGAACGGUAACAGGCCGCCAGGUGCUGACGAGUGGCGAACGGGUGAGUAAUGCAUCGGAACGUGCCCAGUCGUGGGGGAUAACUACUCGAAAGAGUAGCUAAUACCGCAUACGAUCUAUGGAUGAAAGCGGGGGACCGUAAGGCCUCGCGCGAUUGGAGCGGCCGAUGUCAGAUUAGGUAGUUGGUGGGGUAAAGGCUCCCCAAGCCAACGAUCUGUAGCUGGUCUGAGAGGACGACCAGCCACACGGGGACUGAGACACGGCCCAGACUCCUACGGGAGGCAGCAGUGGGGAAUUUUGGACAAGGGGCGCAAGCCUGAUCCAGCAAUGCCGCGUGCAGGAAGAAGGCCUUCGGGUUGUAAACUGCUUUUGUACGGAACGAAACGGCUCUGGUUAAUACCCGGGGCUAAUGACGGUACCGUAAGAAUAAGCACCGGCUAACUACGU